UUUACCACGUGUGACCAGGGGGACCUGUGAGGUCCGGAGGCGACUCCGAGGAGGAGCACACGAAGUCCUGUGCUUCCCUGCCUCUGUGACCCCAGCAGAGCUCCGCACCCUGGAAGAGGCCGCCCUUCCAUCUUGGCAGAGUUGCUCCCUUCGGAAGGGCAGAGAUGCCUCCCCCGUCUGCCCAAGAUCGCCGUCCUCCUCCUUAAACCCCGACUGAUGGAAAACAGAAACCACUACAGGAACGGGAAGAGGAGGCAUCUGAAACACCCCCAAACCUUGGAUGCUGCUUAGGACUUCAGAAUUCAAAAGGCAGAAGCCAAGGUGACCAGGGGAACAAGCGGAACAGAUUUCGGUGCCUGCCUCCCACCCUGCCUGCUGGCCCAGAGCCCUCCCCAGGAGGGCCACACAUCCUGUGGCCAGACAGCCCCGCAGAAGGCCGAGGGGACUGUGGGGCCGUCCGUCAGAUGGCCAGCUGCCCUUGGCCUCCUCCUAUGUUACUUCCCUGGACUGCAAGGGAGCGAGGGAACAACAACAAAACUGGAAGGAAUGACAGUUAAAAUACUCUAUGAGAAACUGGUGUAGACAGAAGUCUUUUUCUUACGACCCACCGGCAUCCACCGGGAGAGCUGGCUGGAAAUCAAACGUCUCUGCUCUUAAGCCCCGUCCUGCCUUGGAAUCGUGAAGAUAAAGCCAACAGCAACAACAAAAUGAGAUAAAGAGACACCCCCCGCGGGGCUCCCCUGGCCCCAUGGGGGUCCGUCUGACUUUGGCACCCAGUUGACAGACCCUUUCGGGCCCAGUGGAGUGGCCCCCUGGGACAGGGCCCUGCAUAGUCACACCAGGGAUACUGGCUGUUUCCCUGGCUUGGGGGUUAUAGCAAAGCACCACAGGCUGGGGGAGGCUUAGACAACAAGGCACAUACUUCUCACCGUUCUGGAAGCCAGAAGUCCAAGAUCAAGGUGCCCAUGGGUUCCGUUCUCUGAGAGGACUCUCUUCCUGGCUUGUCAACGGGCCACCUUCCCCCUGGGUCCCCACAUGAGGGAGACAGAAGGCUGUCUUUUCCCCUUCUUGUGAGGACACCGAUCCCAUCAUGGGGGCCCCCACCCCCGUGACCUCAUCUCAACCUACGUGCCUCCCAGAGUCCCAACUGCCCAAAUGCCAUCCCACUGGGGACUAGGGCUUCAAUGUACAGAUGUCAGGGGGACACAAAUGUUGGGUCCACGGCCCCGGUUCCUGCUGGGCUUUGCUUUUUCUCAACACAUCACUGCAUGGGCUGCAGUGGUCCCAGCAGUGAGGAUGGACCCAACUGGCCACUCCCCACCGAGGCUCCCAGGGUGCAGUUCACAGUAGGUCCUGGAGCCCCAUGUCCCGGCAGUCGUGGCGUCAUGGACGCAAACCUGGGGGCCCCUGUUCCCCAAGAAUCUGUGUCCAUGGCUUAGCAGGUUUCCUCUUAAUCCUUCAAAGAUAAAGGGCCCGCCUCCACCCCUCUCCCCACAGUCCCACGCAGGUGCUGCCACCUGCCAAUGCGGGGACACUGGCGGGCGUGGGAACAGGAACCUUCAGUAGCUCUGGGGGGCUUUCUGGUGUCCCCCAGGCCCCCAUACACCCAUUCCAUCCAAGGCAUCAUUUCCUAACUCACAGGGGAGUUAAAAGCCUAAAAAAAAAAAUCCCUCCUGACUCCUCUGGAAUUUCAAUGGACCGCCUCCUCCCUACGGCCCCCAUUCCAGAAUUUUCUCCUCAGGCUUCAUCCUUCUUUCCAUAAGGAGGCCCUCUCCUAUGGCCCCACCCCCAAAGGGCCGGAGAGAAGGGCCCCCUGGCAGGUGCCAGUCUACAUGACUGGAUCCCUCCCUCCCCGCCGGAGAGGCUCAGGGGACGCUGCCCUCACCCCAGCCCAGCCCAGCCUGUGCCACGUUGCCCUUCCUUGGGAACAUUUUCUCAAAGCGCUUCUAGGGGUGCCUUGGUGGCUCAGUCAGUUAUGAUCUCACAGUUGAUGAGUCCAAGCCCCACACUGGGCCCUGUACUGACAGCUCAGAGAGCCUGGAGGCUACUUUGGAUUCCAUCUCCCUCUCUCUCUACCCCUCCCUGCAUCAAAAAUAAAUACACAUUAAAACAAAAAAUUCUAGGCACUUCUGAAGAGCCAGGUCACCUCCCUCCGCC
This is a long non-coding RNA of Felis catus (domestic cat), 2157 nucleotides long. RefSeq lists it as uncharacterized. Lineage: Eukaryota; Metazoa; Chordata; Mammalia; Carnivora; Felidae. The transcript has 3 exons. The record is from RefSeq and is a predicted model, not a curated record.